Molecule: long non-coding RNA, 557 nt
Filed under: Rattus norvegicus (Norway rat)
Lineage: Eukaryota; Metazoa; Chordata; Mammalia; Rodentia; Muridae
Description: long non-coding RNA NONRATT014926
Source: RNAcentral
GUGGAUGCAAACCUGCAGAAACUCACCCAGCUUGUAAAUAAGGAGUCCAACCUAAUUGAGAAGAUGGAUGGCAACCUCCGCCAGAGCCCUCAGCUUCUUCCUCGGAAGCUGCCAACCCUCAAGCUGACCCCAGCAGAAGAAGAGAGUAACUCCUCACAGCUGCUGUCGCCCUGACAGUCACAGCCAGAGUCUUGGUGACUGUGGGAGUAGCUGCUGGGGCCAAGUGUACGGAGACCCGAAGAACACAGUAAUGGGUUUAAGACUAAAGCAGAGGGAGCUGUGUGCGACCAUUUUAAAUUAUGAAAGCUGUGAUUUUAGCCGGGCAGUGCAUUUUAAAUAGAGGCGAAUGCUAAGUGACCUGGGGGGCAAGCGCGAGGCACUGUGUAUGAAACCCCGCCUUAACCGGGGCCGGCCUUUGCCUUUGGGUCAGGUGUUGCGGACCAAAGCUGCAAUGCUUUUCUGAAUGUGCGCUUUUUAAUUUAUUUAAGUUAAUUUAUUAACUUAGUUUUUCUUAGACUGUCUCAGUACAUAAUAUGUGGUAUUUGGCUGAGAUCUUA